Molecule: ribosomal RNA, 248 nt
Filed under: uncultured bacterium
Lineage: Bacteria
Description: partial 16S ribosomal RNA
Rfam family: Bacterial small subunit ribosomal RNA
Source: RNAcentral
CCUACGGGAGGCAGCAGUAGGGAAUCUUCCACAAUGGACGAAAGUCUGAUGGAGCAACGCCGCGUGAGUGAAGAAGGGCUUCGGAUCGUAAAACUCUGUUGGUAGUGAAGAAAGAUAGAGGGAGUAACUGGUCUCUAUUUGACGGUAAUUAAUUAGAAAGUCACGGCUAACUACGUGCCAGCAGCCGCGGUAAUACGUAGGUGGCAAGCGUUGUCCGGAUUUAUUGGGCGUAAAGCGAAUGCAGGCGG